GAGUUUGAUCCUGGCUCAGAUUGAACGCUGGCGGCAGGCCUAACACAUGCAAGUCGAACGGUAACAGGAAGUGCUUGCACUUCGCUGACGAGUGGCGGACGGGUGAGUAAUGCUUGGGAACUUGCCUUUGCGAGGGGGAUAACAGUUGGAAACGACUGCUAAUACCGCAUAAUGUCUUCGGACCAAACGGGGCUUCGGCUCCGGCGCAAAGAGAGGCCCAAGUGAGAUUAGCUAGUUGGUGAGGUAAAGGCUCACCAGGGCGACGAUCUCUAGCUGUUCUGAGAGGAAGAUCAGCCACACUGGGACUGAGACACGGCCCAGACUCCUACGGGAGGCAGCAGUGGGGAAUAUUGCACAAUGGGGGAAACCCUGAUGCAGCCAUGCCGCGUGUGUGAAGAAGGCCUUCGGGUUGUAAAGCACUUUCAGUUGUGAGGAAAGGUUGGUAGUUAAUACCUGCCAGCUGUGACGUUAACAACAGAAGAAGCACCGGCUAACUCCGUGCCAGCAGCCGCGGUAAUACGGAGGGUGCGAGCGUUAAUCGGAAUUACUGGGCGUAAAGCGCACGCAGGCGGUUUGUUAAGCUAGAUGUGAAAGCCCCGGGCUCAACCUGGGAUGGUCAUUUAGAACUGGCAGACUAGAGUCUUGGAGAGGGGAGUGGAAUUCCAGGUGUAGCGGUGAAAUGCGUAGAUAUCUGGAGGAACAUCAGUGGCGAAGGCGACUCCCUGGCCAAAGACUGACGCUCAUGUGCGAAAGUGUGGGUAGCGAACAGGAUUAGAUACCCUGGUAGUCCACACCGUAAACGCUGUCUACUAGCUGUUUGUGACUUUAAGUCGUGAGUAGCGAAGCUAACGCGCUAAGUAGACCGCCUGGGGAGUACGGCCGCAAGGUUAAAACUCAAAUGAAUUGACGGGGGCCCGCACAAGCGGUGGAGCAUGUGGUUUAAUUCGAUGCAACGCGAAGAACCUUACCUACACUUGACAUGCAGAGAACUUUCUAGAGAUAGAUUGGUGCCUUCGGGAACUCUGACACAGGUGCUGCAUGGCUGUCGUCAGCUCGUGUCGUGAGAUGUUG
This 1071-nucleotide ribosomal RNA is filed under the name uncultured Gammaproteobacteria bacterium. Its description in RNAcentral is "bacterial SSU rRNA". It matches the Rfam family "Bacterial small subunit ribosomal RNA", at positions 9 to 1077 of the family's 1533-position model. Lineage: Bacteria; Pseudomonadati; Pseudomonadota; Gammaproteobacteria. The record is from RNAcentral.